UUUUCGAACGCAGUUUACUUACUGUUUACCAGUUCUCGAGCGCCGAGUUACACAAAAACGACUGAAUCGUCGAACCGCAUGUUUCUCACGUUGCCGCGGCCGCCCGAGUUUUCCUCUGCCACCCUACACUCUCUCGAAUCUCCGUACUCUCUAACCUAGUUUCUCCAGUUCUUCUCACUUGUCGUCUUCCUUGCCAGUUCGUGGACUGGGA
Non-coding RNA from Caenorhabditis elegans, 211 nucleotides. NCBI's taxonomy places the organism in Eukaryota, Metazoa, Nematoda, Chromadorea, Rhabditida, Rhabditidae. The record is from Ensembl.